UACGUAGGGUGCGAGCGUUGUCCGGAAUUAUUGGGCGUAAAGAGCUUGUAGGCGGUUUGUCGCGUCUGCUGUGAAAAUCCGGGGCUCAACCCCGGACUUGCAGUGGGUACGGGCAGACUAGAGUGUGGUAGGGGAGACUGGAAUUCCUGGUGUAGCGGUGAAAUGCGCAGAUAUCAGGAGGAACACCGAUGGCGAAGGCAGGUCUCUGGGCCACUACUGACGCUGAGAGGCGAAAGCAUGGGGAGCGAACGGG
Molecule: ribosomal RNA, 253 nt
Filed under: uncultured bacterium
Lineage: Bacteria
Description: partial 16S ribosomal RNA
Rfam family: Bacterial small subunit ribosomal RNA
Source: RNAcentral